This 256-nucleotide ribosomal RNA is filed under the name uncultured bacterium. Its description in RNAcentral is "partial 16S ribosomal RNA". It matches the Rfam family "Bacterial small subunit ribosomal RNA", at positions 99 to 354 of the family's 1533-position model. The record is from RNAcentral.
CGGACGGGUGAGUAACGCGUGGGUAACCUGCCUCAUACAGGGGGAGUAACAGUUAGAAAUGACUGCUAAAACCGCAUAAGCGCACAAGACCGCAUGGUUUGGUGUGAAAAACUCCGGUGGUAUGAGAUGGACCCGCGUCUGAUUAGCUAGUUGGAGAGGUAGCGGCUCACCAAGGCGACGAUCAGUAGCCGACCUGAGAGGGUGACCGGCCACAUUGGGACUGAGACACGGCCCAAACUCCUACGGGAGGCAGCAG